Molecule: ribosomal RNA, 253 nt
Filed under: uncultured bacterium
Lineage: Bacteria
Also listed under: 1 other name
Description: partial 16S ribosomal RNA
Rfam family: Bacterial small subunit ribosomal RNA
Source: RNAcentral
UACGAAGGGUGCAAGCGUUACUCGGAAUUACUGGGCGUAAAGCGUGCGUAGGUGGUUUGUUAAGUCUGAUGUGAAAGCCCUGGGCUCAACCUGGGAAUUGCAUUGGAUACUGGCAGGCUAGAGUGCGGUAGAGGGUAGUGGAAUUCCCGGUGUAGCAGUGAAAUGCGUAGAGAUCGGGAGGAACACCAGUGGCGAAGGCGACUACCUGGACCAGCACUGACACUGAGGCACGAAAGCGUGGGGAGCAAACAGG